Molecule: non-coding RNA, 71 nt
Organism: Phrynosoma platyrhinos (Desert horned lizard)
Lineage: Eukaryota; Metazoa; Chordata; Lepidosauria; Squamata; Phrynosomatidae
Source: the annotation of a GenBank genome assembly
UCUGCUGGUGUAGUGGUUUGAGUACUGGACUACAACUCUGGAGAACAGAGUUCAAAUCUCUGGCCAUGGAA